ACCCAGACUCCUACGGGAGGCAGCAGUGAGGAAUAUUGGUCAAUGGGCGAGAGCCUGAACCAGCCAAGUCGCGUGAGGGAGUACUGCCCUAUGGGUUGUAAACCUCUUUUGUCGGGGAGCAAAAGCCGGACGUGUCCGUCUGUGAGAGUACCCGAAGAAAAAGCCCCGGCUAACUACGUGCCAGCAGCCGCGGUAAUACGUAGGGGGCAAGCGUUAUCCGGAUUUACUGGGUGUAAAGGGAGCGUAGACGGCGAGGUAAGCCUGAAGUGGAAGCCCGCGGCCCAACCGCGGAACUGCUUUGGGAACUGUUUUGCUGGAGUAUGGGAGGGGUAAGCGGAAUUCCUGGUGUAGCGGUGAAAUGCGUAGAUAUCAGGAGGAACACCGGUGGCGAAGGCGGCUUACUGGACCAUAACUGACGUUGAGGCUCGAAAGCGUGGGGAGCGAACAGGAUUAGAUACCCGAGUA
Molecule: ribosomal RNA, 465 nt
Filed under: uncultured bacterium
Lineage: Bacteria
Description: bacterial SSU rRNA
Rfam family: Bacterial small subunit ribosomal RNA
Source: RNAcentral